UUAAAUUUUAUAAAUAGAGGAAAAACAACAUGAUUCACCUAUCCAUAGGCCAGUGAGACCAAAAAGUUAACCUUUUUAAAGAGAAAUGGGCCAAACCAAAGCAAUCAAGCCCAACACCGUAUAAACCAAAAUACAAUGCCCCAACGGACAAAACCCAAAGCACCCUUUCGUCGGAAGCUUCCUUCGUCAGAUGGUAGGUGGGUGACGUGACAAUUAGAUGAGAACGAGAGAGGAGAAAAGCUCGGGGUCUUCCAUGGGAGUUGUGUAGGAGAGAGAGGUGCGUCCUUCACUGAGCAGAGAAGCAAAUGGAGGGUGGAAGAGAAGAAGAAGAAAACGGAGAACAGAGGUAAACACUAAAAGAACUCGUCUUGCUUUUGAGAAAAUAAUUUCGUAUUGCUCUGUGUUGAAUGUGUUACAUUAUUCGAAGAAAAGAAAAGAAAAGGAACUCUAUUUAUAGAGUUCGAGACAGUAAAAAAAGGAAAAACUAUGAAAAACUAACUACUAACAGAAAAGGGGUGUGAUUACCGUAUGUAGACAGUAAUCCCCCGAACAAUAACUUCCAAUAGCCUCCCCUCAAGCUGUGUGGUCGAUGGUCACCAGUCCAAGCUUGCUAACAAUAGAUCGGAACCUAACACGGUGAGGAAACUUGGUAAAAAUGUCCGCGAGCUGCUCAU
This 674-nucleotide long non-coding RNA is filed under the name Vigna radiata. Its description in RNAcentral is "long non-coding RNA (VRAD_LNC016646)". The record is from RNAcentral. Lineage: Eukaryota; Viridiplantae; Streptophyta; Magnoliopsida; Fabales; Fabaceae.